This 22-nucleotide small nuclear RNA is filed under the name Arabidopsis thaliana (thale cress). Its description in RNAcentral is "snRNA_02748". The record is from RNAcentral. Lineage: Eukaryota; Viridiplantae; Streptophyta; Magnoliopsida; Brassicales; Brassicaceae.
AUGAAUGACUCAUUCGCUUGUU